RNAcentral lists this ribosomal RNA (543 nucleotides) under Bifidobacterium breve. RNAcentral describes it as "bacterial SSU rRNA". It matches the Rfam family "Bacterial small subunit ribosomal RNA", at positions 158 to 711 of the family's 1533-position model. Lineage: Bacteria; Bacillati; Actinomycetota; Actinomycetes; Bifidobacteriales; Bifidobacteriaceae. The record is from RNAcentral.
GGGUGGUAAUGCCGGAUGCUCCAUCACACCGCAUGGUGUGUUGGGAAAGCCUUUGCGGCAUGGGAUGGGGUCGCGUCCUAUCAGCUUGAUGGCGGGGUAACGGCCCACCAUGGCUUCGACGGGUAGCCGGCCUGAGAGGGCGACCGGCCACAUUGGGACUGAGAUACGGCCCAGACUCCUACGGGAGGCAGCAGUGGGGAAUAUUGCACAAUGGGCGCAAGCCUGAUGCAGCGACGCCGCGUGAGGGAUGGAGGCCUUCGGGUUGUAAACCUCUUUUGUUAGGGAGCAAGGCAUUUUGUGUUGAGUGUACCUUUCGAAUAAGCACCGGCUAACUACGUGCCAGCAGCCGCGGUAAUACGUAGGGUGCAAGCGUUAUCCGGAAUUAUUGGGCGUAAAGGGCUCGUAGGCGGUUCGUCGCGUCCGGUGUGAAAGUCCAUCGCUUAACGGUGGAUCCGCGCCGGGUACGGGCGGGCUUGAGUGCGGUAGGGGAGACUGGAAUUCCCGGUGUAACGGUGGAAUGUGUAGAUAUCGGGAAGAACACCA